RNAcentral lists this ribosomal RNA (424 nucleotides) under uncultured bacterium. RNAcentral's name for it is "bacterial SSU rRNA". It matches the Rfam family "Bacterial small subunit ribosomal RNA", at positions 355 to 776 of the family's 1533-position model. The record is from RNAcentral. RNAcentral also lists the same sequence under 2 other names.
UGAGGAAUAUUGGUCAAUGGGCGGAAGCCUGAACCAGCCAAGUCGCGUGAGGGAAGAAGGCCCUGCGGGUCGCAGACCUCUUUGGACGGGGAGCAAGGCCGCCGACGUGUCGGCGGAAGGAGAGUACCCGUAGAACAAGCAUCGGCUAACUCCGUGCCAGCAGCCGCGGUAAUACGGAGGAUGCGAGCGUUAUCCGGAUUUAUUGGGUUUAAAGGGUGCGCAGGCGGCACGGCAAGCCGGCGGUCAAAUCGCGGGGCUCAACCCCGCCCAGCCGUCGGAACUGCCGGGCUAGAGUGGGCGAGAAGUGCGCGGAAUGCGUGGUGUAGCGGUGAAAUGCAUAGAUAUCACGCAGAACUCCGAUUGCGAAGGCAGCGCACCGGCGCCCUACUGACGCUCAGGCACGAAAGCGUGGGUAUCGAACAGG